RNAcentral lists this ribosomal RNA (255 nucleotides) under uncultured bacterium. RNAcentral describes it as "partial 16S ribosomal RNA". It matches the Rfam family "Bacterial small subunit ribosomal RNA", at positions 524 to 776 of the family's 1533-position model. The record is from RNAcentral.
UACGAAGGGGGCUAGCGUUGCUCGGAAUCACUGGGCGUAAAGGGUGCGUAGGCGGGUUACUUUAAGUCAGGGGUGAAAUCCUGGAGCUCAACUCCAGAACUGCCUUUGAUACUGAGGAUCUUGAGUUCGGGAGAGGUGAGUGGAACUGCGAGUGUAGAGGUGAAAUUCGUAGAUAUUCGCAAGAACACCAGUGGCGAAGGCGGCUCACUGGCCCGAUACUGACGCUGAGGCACGAAAGCGUGGGGAGCAAACAGG